UCCCAGACUCCUACGGGAGGCAGCAGUGAGGAAUAUUGGUCAAUGGGCGCGAGCCUGAACCAGCCAAGUCGCGUGAGGGAUGACGGCCCUACGGGUUGUAAACCUCUUUUGCCGGGGAGCAACGAGGCCACGUGUGGCCGAAGUGAGAGUACCCGAAGAAAAAGCAUCGGCUAACUCCGUGCCAGCAGCCGCGGUAAUACGGAGGAUGCGAGCGUUAUCCGGAUUUAUUGGGUUUAAAGGGUGCGUAGGCGGAACAUUAAGUCAGCGGUAAAAUCGAGGGGCUCAACCCCUUUAAGCCGUUGAAACUGGUGAUCUUGAGUGGGCGAGAAGUAUGCGGAAUGCGUGGUGUAGCGGUGAAAUGCAUAGAUAUCACGCAGAACUCCGAUUGCGAAGGCAGCGCACCGGCGCCCUACUGACGCUCAGGCACGAAAGCGUGGGUAUCGAACAGGAUUAGAUACCCUAGUAU
Molecule: ribosomal RNA, 466 nt
Filed under: uncultured bacterium
Lineage: Bacteria
Description: bacterial SSU rRNA
Rfam family: Bacterial small subunit ribosomal RNA
Source: RNAcentral